Long non-coding RNA from Oncorhynchus tshawytscha (Chinook salmon), 1203 nucleotides. The record is from Ensembl. Lineage: Eukaryota; Metazoa; Chordata; Actinopteri; Salmoniformes; Salmonidae.
CGCUUAAAACGGCCCGUGCGGAAACAAGCCCUCAAAAGGGUCCGUGUGGAAACGAGUGCUCAGAAGGUUCCGUGUGAUGAAGAAAUGGAGACUAACAGUGUCCAAUUUUUGUUUUUACUGAAUUACAAAUGUCACGCGUUAUUUAACGAGUUAACUUUGACAGCCCUAGUUUUAAAACAUAAUGGCUUUCAUUUUCUAAAAGGAAAAAGGUAGGGAAUAUAUUAACUGAUUUGAAGUUUGUAAGUAAGUUUGGCUCAAUUUCAAGGACAAAAACAUUUUCAAUGUUUUUAUGUAUUUGACUUUUUUGGUAAUCUGGGAAAAGGUGAGAGAAUCCGGCUUUAGCUUUGGCAUGGGGGGGACACAUUUUGGGAGAAUGUAAUUUUUUUUACUAAGGUGUUUUUUCAAGUUGACUGGUAUGAUAUUCUUUGAUAUGUUGACUGCAUAUAAUUUUCUAAACACAACCCCAUCCCCUUUUUUUUUCACUUUUAUAUAUUUGAUAUUUACAAAGGUUUUUGUAUUUUGCUUGUGUGUAGUCACUAGCUGCCAAUGCUUUACCAACCAUAUUACAAAGACACUGAAUAAUAAUAAUAAUAAUAAUAAUAAUAGCUAUGGUGGUGAGCCCAAGAGCAGCUGGUUAAGAACAAAAGUGGGAUGUUUUCAGAUUCUUGUGUUUUUAACUUUUUAAUCGAGGAGACAUUUAUUUUCAAGAAGAACUUGACAUGAAGGAGCAGCUUUGAAAACCAAUAUAUUUUAAAUGCUUGAAGGACUUCUUUUUAUUUAAUAAUUCAUAACUUGUUUAUUUAUGGCUUCCUGCAUGAUGCUGCUUUUUAAAAAAUGAUUUGUGUGUCUGACAUAUUGAAUAACCUGUGUUGGUGGGUAGAGGAAGCAUGAUGGAACAGCCUGUGUUGGUGGGUAGAGGAAGCAUGAUGGAACAGCCUGUGUUGGUGGGUAGAGGAAGCAUGAUGGAACAGCCUGUGUUGGUGGGUAGAGGAAGCAUGAUGGAACAGCCUGUGUUGGUGGGUAGAGGAAGCAUGAUGGAACAGCCUGUGUUGGGUAGAGGAAGCAUGAUGGAACAGCCUGUGUUGGUGGGUAGAGGAAGCAUGAUGGAACAGCCUGUGUUGGUGGGUAGAGGAAGCAUGAUGGAACAGCCUGUGUUGGUGGGUAGAGGAAGCAUGAUGGAACAGCCUGUGUUGGUGGGUGGAG